UACGGAGGAUGCGAGCGCUAUCCGGAUUUAUUGGGUUUAAAGGGUGCGUAGGCGGAUCGUUAAGUCAGUGGUCAAAUUGAGGGGCUCAACCCCUUCCCGCCAUUGAAACUGGCGAUCUUGAGUGGAAGAGAAGUAUGCGGAAUGCGUGGUGUAGCGGUGAAAUGCAUAGAUAUCACGCAGAACCCCGAUUGCGAAGGCAGCAUGCCGGCUUCCGACUGACGCUGAAGCACGAAAGCGUGGGGAUCGAACAGG
This 252-nucleotide ribosomal RNA is filed under the name uncultured bacterium. RNAcentral describes it as "partial 16S ribosomal RNA". It matches the Rfam family "Bacterial small subunit ribosomal RNA", at positions 524 to 776 of the family's 1533-position model. The record is from RNAcentral.